GCCAGGCAUGGUGGCUCAUGCCUGUAAUCCCAGCACUUUGGGAGGCCGAGGUGGGCGGAUCACCUGAGGUCAGGAGUUCGAGACUAGCCUGGCCAACAUGGUGAAACCCCAUCUCUA
Macaca fascicularis (crab-eating macaque) is the source of this 117-nucleotide unclassified non-coding RNA. It matches the Rfam family "Metazoan signal recognition particle RNA". From Rfam's summary of the family: The signal recognition particle (SRP) is a universally conserved ribonucleoprotein. It is involved in the co-translational targeting of proteins to membranes. NCBI's taxonomy places the organism in Eukaryota, Metazoa, Chordata, Mammalia, Primates, Cercopithecidae. The record is from Ensembl.